GGCCCAGUGGCGAGCGGUCUCGCAUCCGCAACAUUUAGAUGAUUCGAACCGAAUUCAGCGGCAGCUCUGGUUCGACUCCAGCCUGAGUCA
Mycena metata is the source of this 90-nucleotide non-coding RNA. The record is from the annotation of a GenBank genome assembly. NCBI's taxonomy places the organism in Eukaryota, Fungi, Basidiomycota, Agaricomycetes, Agaricales, Mycenaceae.